GAUCCUGGCUCAGGAUGAACGCUAGCUACAGGCUUAACACAUGCAAGUCGAGGGGCAUCGGGGAGGUAGCUUGCUAUCUCUGCCGGCGACCGGCGCACGGGUGAGUAACGCGUAUCCAACCUGCCGCAUAGUCGGGCACAGCCCUCUGAAAGGAGGAUUAAUGCCGGAUGUGGUCUUAGUGGGACAUCCCAUUAUGACUGAAGAUUUAUUGCUAUGCGAUGGGGAUGCGUCCGAUUAGCUUGUUGGCGGGGUAACGGCCCACCAAGGCGACGAUCGGUAGGGGCUCUGAGAGGAGGAUCCCCCACACUGGAACUGAGACACGGUCCAGACUCCUACGGGAGGCAGCAGUGAGGAAUAUUGGUCAAUGGAGGCAACUCUGAACCAGCCAAAGUAGCGUGAGGGACGACUGCCCUACGGGUUGUAAACCUCUUUUGUUCGGGAAUAAAGUGCGGGACGCGUCCCGCUUUGUAUGUACCGUACGAAUAAGCAUCGGCUAAUUCCGUGCCAGCAGCCGC
This 515-nucleotide ribosomal RNA is filed under the name uncultured bacterium. RNAcentral describes it as "bacterial SSU rRNA". It matches the Rfam family "Bacterial small subunit ribosomal RNA", at positions 15 to 518 of the family's 1533-position model. The record is from RNAcentral.